AACAUGACAGUCACAGUGGUGUAUGAUAACUCUGAGGCAACAGAGCUCUGUGCAGCUCAGCACCUCUACCUCAAGCCCAUAGCAAAAUUGUUGAUCAACAUAUUGCUUCCAGGGAGUCUAGAACCUGUAAGGCCCUUCUCUAACUGGGAAGUUCUUGACCAGCUGAAGAGCCUGAUUUGCCCUGACCAGUUCACCACAGUUCAGCUCUCCAAGAGUACAAAGGACUUCAUUCAAUUGGAGGGUGAGGCUGAAACCCGAAGUUUGGUUCAGAUCCUGAAGGCAAAGUUACAUGGGAAGAUUAUCAAGCUAAAUGGUUUGAAAAAACACUUAAAAGUAGUGGCUACAGAUGCCCAGGGAGAAUGGGAGCACUUCCCCAAGGAAAAAGAGCCCUCGUUGAGUGAUGGGGCUGAAGAGCAGGAGAAGAGCCCAGAUUCCAUAUGUUUUGAAGAGUUGCCCUGUAAAUGGUUUGCACCUAAAUGUUCUAGCAAAGAGAAGCCAUAUGAAGAGAUCCUUUGGGUAGUCUUUGAAAGUUUUGGGAAGAUCAAGAAUGUGGAUAUCCUUAUGCUUGGCCCCUACAGAGAAGUGAUGACUGACAGGAGCUUUGGGGGUUUUAGCUUUGGCUUACAGACAUUUGAGGCAUUCAUACAAAUGAAACUGAUGCUUAAAGGAAAUGAUGGGAAAGCUCUGGCAUGUAACAUUAAGGUUACGUCUGAUACGACCAAGCACUUCAGCGAAGGAGCUAUAAGGAGGAGAAAUCAGGAAAGGCUAAAAUUACAAGAACUAGAAGAAGAAAGGAAAAAAGAAAAGAAAAGAGAA
This 816-nucleotide long non-coding RNA is filed under the name Homo sapiens (human). RNAcentral's name for it is "non-protein coding lnc-KIAA1210-1:2". Lineage: Eukaryota; Metazoa; Chordata; Mammalia; Primates; Hominidae. The record is from RNAcentral.